GUAGCCCACAAGGCCCCCAAGAAACUCAGCUCAAAGACCAUUCGGCAGAAGAACUGGGCAGAGUGGCUCACACCUACAAUCCCCUAGGAGGGAAGGACAAAGGCAUCCAUAUCACCUGGCCACAGUGGUUGUGGUGGAAGCUGUAGCACUGAAGAGAUGCAGCCCCAUGGAAGAUGCUGCCAAGAGAGGGAGACAGAGCUAUGUCUGGUGUCUCCCUUCCUCCUUACCUGGUGCCUCCCUCCUCCUGUCCUCCUGUCUCCCUUCAGAUGAAGGAACUGAUGCUGAGACUUGCACUCUACCAUAGGCGGAAGCACCCACCACCCUGUUCCCAGCCCUGGAAGGGCAAGGAAUGAAUCUGAGGCAAAUAGGGCCGGCACUGGCAGUCUGCUCGAUUUUCCCUCAGAGCAUUUAUCUUCCUUGACAUAUUUACAAUUUUUUGUCUAUUUUUGGUUUCUCUAACUUGACUAGAA
Molecule: long non-coding RNA, 470 nt
Filed under: Pan troglodytes (chimpanzee)
Lineage: Eukaryota; Metazoa; Chordata; Mammalia; Primates; Hominidae
Description: long non-coding RNA NONPTRT002826
Source: RNAcentral